UUUGUAUUAUGUGCGGAAAUUGUUACAAUUUUUGAGCUAAAAAUGGUAACAAUUUCCACACGUAAUACAAA
This 71-nucleotide microRNA precursor is filed under the name Paramuricea clavata. Lineage: Eukaryota; Metazoa; Cnidaria; Anthozoa; Malacalcyonacea; Plexauridae. The record is from RNAcentral.